This 207-nucleotide ribosomal RNA is filed under the name uncultured bacterium. Its description in RNAcentral is "partial 16S ribosomal RNA". It matches the Rfam family "Bacterial small subunit ribosomal RNA", at positions 1294 to 1500 of the family's 1533-position model. The record is from RNAcentral.
CGGAUCGCAGGCUGCAACCCGCCUGCGUGAAGUUGGAAUCGCUAGUAAUCGCGGAUCAGCAUGCCGCGGUGAAUACGUUCCCGGGCCUUGUACACACCGCCCGUCACACCAUGAGAGUCGGGAACACCCGAAGUCCGUAGCUUAACCGCAAGGGGGGCGCGGCCGAAGGUGGGUUCGAUAAUUGGGGUGAAGUCGUAACAAGGUAAC